This 222-nucleotide non-coding RNA is filed under the name unclassified sequences. RNAcentral describes it as "Cyano-2 RNA". It matches the Rfam family "Cyano-2 RNA". The record is from RNAcentral. RNAcentral also lists the same sequence under 1 other name.
AGCGGCACCGAGAGAGCAACUCGGGAGCUGGUAGAAACCAGUCCCUACGGCGUCCUAAGGGUCCGUAGGGACUGUUUUGCGCCUUCAUGUCGUCUUCCGAUAACAAGAAAGAUUCCGUAGUUUGCAGCUUGUAUCGAGAUCGUUCGUCAGGCUUUAAGAGCGGAGUCGAAUCGCUCGGGAGACAUUGGCGAGACCGAUGUCACUCUCGGCUCCGCAGUCAGC